GAAUCUGGUUACAGGCCGGGGACUCAGUGGGAAACGACUGCUAAUACCGGAUGUGCCGAAAGGUAAAAGGCUUGCUGCCUGAAGAUGAGCUCGCGUCUGAUUAGCUAGUUGGUGUGGUAAGAGCGCACCAAGGCGACGAUCAGUAGCUGGUCUGAGAGGAUGAUCAGCCACACUGGGACUGAGACACGGCCCAGACUCCUACGGGAGGCAGCAGUGGGGAAUUUUCCGCAAUGGGCGAAAGCCUGACGGAGCAAUACCGCGUGAGGGAGGAAGGCUCUUGGGUUGUAAACCUCUUUUCUCAAGGAAUAAUUUCUGAAGGUACUUGAGGAAUCACCAUCGGCUAACUCCGGGCCACCACCCCCGGUAAUACGGAGGAUGCAAGCGUUUUCCGGAAUAAUUGGGCGUAAAGGGCCCCCAGGUGGCCCUGUAAUUCUGCUGUUAAAAACCAAAGCUUAACUUUGUAAAAGCAGUGGAAACUACAAAGCUAGAGUGCUUUCGGGGUAAAGGGAAUUCCUGGUGUACCGGUGAAAUGCGUAAAGAUCAGGAAGAACCCGUUGGCAAAGGGCUCUAUUAGGCCGCACCUGACACUGAGGGAGGAAAGCUAGGGAAC
This 610-nucleotide ribosomal RNA is filed under the name uncultured Anabaena sp. RNAcentral's name for it is "bacterial SSU rRNA". It matches the Rfam family "Bacterial small subunit ribosomal RNA", at positions 122 to 768 of the family's 1533-position model. Lineage: Bacteria; Bacillati; Cyanobacteriota; Cyanophyceae; Nostocales; Nostocaceae. The record is from RNAcentral.